UCCAUCACCCACAUGGCUGCUUCCUGGGGGAGAGAUGCCUCCAUUUGCUGAGCAGCAUUUCUUCAGCAUAUGCAUGUAUUCUGAGCCCUUCACUUCAGUGCUCUCAUUUACUGUCCAACAUAAACCACAGCGACAGCCCUGGAAUAGAUACUAUUCUCUCCCUUCUUACAUGAAGGUCCCCCAGUCAGGAGGAGUCUAGGAGCAGAUGUGAAAACAGGGUUAGUCUUGCUCCAGGGCGCGUGUUUUCAGUCGUGACCUUGGCCCUGCCGCUCAGAGAAUGCUCACAGCCACGACUCUGGAGUCUCCCACAGUGCCUGACAUGCAGUGGAUUCAGUCUGAUGAGCUGCUGAAACAAGCAAUGAAGAACAUCAACUGAGUGAUAAGGAACAGCUUCGAGUGAGGACAGGAGCAGCACCUCUGGUCUCUACCUUUGAUUUCAUGCCUCUUUCUUAAUUAUGGGAGGUAUAACUGGAUAAUUUAUCUUUGGUGUCAUAUACUGUAUUAACCAUCUCUUCAUUGCUUACGAGGCCUUAUAACAAUACAGCGUUUGGUUUUGGGGUGUAAUGCAUGUCCCCAGGAUUCAUAGUUUGGAAGUGGAAUUCAGCAGUGAUGUGUCCUUCCUAGAAACUCUACAGUCCCGGGCAUGACUUAGCCAGUGAUUAGGAACAUUUGACCUGGUAUUAACAGAACAACAUUUAUAAAGUCCUGUUUUCAUGGGUUGGAGCAUCCUUGAUGGGCCAGAGUUUGGGCUGCUUCUUGACUGAAAUCGUUUAUUUCAUUCACAUCUUUAAAAAUCCUGGUGCCCACACAGCUCUGUGUCCUGGCGUGGAGCUGAUGUUCAGAACAUGUUUGCUUGAGAAUUCUCAAGGCUCCUGGAUGGUCUUUCCCUUCCCUGAUGUUUCCAGUGUUCACAACAACGUCAACAUCACCAGCAUAUAAACAGCUCUUUCCUGUUCCAAGAGCCAGAGAAGCAGUCCAGGAAAAAAUGGAUGGAGGCUAUAAAUAGGACAAUUUCGGAACAUGAAUUCUGCAAGGCCAGUAAUCAUGUGAAAUUUUCUUUCAAUGACACUGGAAACUGUCUUUCCAAAUAUACCGAUGAACGUAUUUAAAAGAGGACUUGCUACCCUUAUGCCUGCAUGGGUAUAGGCUGCCUGUGCUGGGAAGGCAGAGUUUUACAAAACUUCCUAUACCUUUUGGCACUUAAAACUACAUGUAAUGUUUUACUCUGCAAAUGCCGGCAAGGCAUCAUAUAAAAUUACAGCUGAAGGAGUGGAGGUGCUGCAAAAUGGAACAGGA
This is a non-coding RNA of Odocoileus virginianus texanus, 1296 nucleotides long. The record is from RefSeq and is a predicted model, not a curated record. NCBI's taxonomy places the organism in Eukaryota, Metazoa, Chordata, Mammalia, Artiodactyla, Cervidae.